AUACCUUUCUCGACCUUUUGGCUAAGAUCAAGUGUAGUAUAUGUUCUUAUCAGUUUAAUAUCUGAUACGUGGACCAUUGUCUCGCAUGAUAUUAAAUUAAUUUUUUCGGGGGAAGAGCCGUCUCGGUAGCUUGCUGCUGGGGUCUUCGAGUGUCGCCCUUGUGUUGCACUUCUGCUUGGGCCAGACACACCCAAU
Impatiens glandulifera is the source of this 195-nucleotide small nuclear RNA. RefSeq annotates it as U2 spliceosomal RNA. The transcript has a single exon. Lineage: Eukaryota; Viridiplantae; Streptophyta; Magnoliopsida; Ericales; Balsaminaceae. The record is from RefSeq and is a predicted model, not a curated record.